ACAGCAUCUAUUAUAUGGCGCAUGUUAUAUCAUAUAAUAUCUGAUAUGAAGUUUUGGACUAGUCUCAACAUGUAUAAAAACAUACAGCAUAAUCAGACAAACGCGACAGAUACUGAGAAUUUAUCUACUAUCGUAUCAUUUUGGAACGCUGUGGAAAGUGUUUUAGGUACAACAAGUAAUAUAUGUAACUUUAAUAUAGAAGAUGUAAUCGAUAUUUGGUCAAUGCAAGGACAUUAUCCUGUACUGUACGUGACACAAAAUUAUUUUACUAACUUAGUAUCAAUCACAUAUAUUAAUUCUAAACAUAUACAAUUUCCUAAUAUGAAACAAUAUAAAUUAUACGUGGUAUAUACGAUACGACGAAAUCACUCAUGAACAUCGAGACACAUUACUUUUGGCUAUCUACACUAACACCGUACCAUUAUAUAUCGCACAAGAUUGACAUUAAUGAUUGGAUCAUUCUCAAUUUACAACAAGGUCUUCCUCCGAGACUGAAAGAUUGAGCACCGUAGUGAAAAUGUUCUCUGAAAAAGGCUCACAGUUGGUCGUGAAGCACACACAAUUGUGGAGGAUGUUCCUGGGACAUAUUUUUUACUACAAACAACAAUGUAAAAUCAUACGGAUUACACGGCCAAUUACAUUCGCUUCUAAUAUAUACGAACUCGUGACUCGUGUUUCAAUGUUAUCAUACGGAUUACACGGCCAAUUACAUUCGCUUCUAAUAUAUACGAACUCGUGACUCGUGUUUCAAUGUUAUUUUUAUAGAAAAUAGUACGCAAAUGACUGUUGCGUGGUUUGCUCGCAAGUUUUCAUUACUCAGACUUCAUCAUUCUUUUAAAUUGCUAAAACACGUUCUAAUUUUUUGAUAUAUUUUUGUUUGUCUAAUGUUUAAAGGUAAGUAAAGUGCGAAUAAUUAUUUUUCCAAGUAUUAGUUUACAUUUCAAAAUUACAAGACAGAUACUGAAACUCUUACGCGAUAUGUCAUACAAAUGUCAUAUGCUGGAGAGCAUCUGCGAGAGAAAUCACCGAUGCUCAAAAUCGAGUUCUAUAAUAUAACGUAGUCAUGGUAAAAAGGUAUUAUAAUUCUAAAGGAAAUAUGCAGGGCCAAUAUCAAAUGAUGAAGUGUAAAUGCUAAAACCACAGUCAUACAGCCAUUUGUCAUUUUGUAUUUUUCAUGAAGAUGCUUGAACUUAAAUCACACAAGUUUGUAUUGAUCAUAACUGCAGUCUGAUAAAUCAACGAAUGAUUAAGAAAAUAUUAUAAUAUCGUAAUAUAUCAUAAUUAUAGCGUUAAUCGAUGUAAGUAAGCGAUCAUUCUGUGCAAAUGGUUAACGGAAAACCGAUCUAUAUAAGCUAGCCAAUUUCGAUCAAAGGAAUAGUAACAUAUAUUUAAAAAAUUAUAAAUAACACAAUAAUUAUGAUAAUGCGAGUCACAGCAAAUUACAUUCUUAUCGAUAAUGGUGUUGGUUCUUGCUGAGAAUAAAAAAAAAUGUCCACAAGUUCUCGCGGACAUUGAGCAAGUAUUACUCAGACU
Molecule: non-coding RNA, 1533 nt
Organism: Linepithema humile (Argentine ant)
Lineage: Eukaryota; Metazoa; Arthropoda; Insecta; Hymenoptera; Formicidae
Source: RefSeq, a predicted model, not a curated record